Non-coding RNA from Delphinapterus leucas (beluga whale), 668 nucleotides. Lineage: Eukaryota; Metazoa; Chordata; Mammalia; Artiodactyla; Monodontidae. The record is from RefSeq and is a predicted model, not a curated record.
AAGUGUCCCGAAGGACAAAUGGUCUCUCUUCCACCAAAAAAUCCAGGAAGAAAGAGAGGGUAACAAUAACAGAAGACAUUAAGUAGACAGAGGGAUUAAUGGAUAAAUGCACAGAUGGAUCGAUAAGCAGAGAACCAACACCUGGAAGGAGGUUCACCGAAACUGUCAAGUGUGGUUAUCUCGAGCCCCAAACCGCCUCAUCUCCCGUGACUACACCGUAUUCAGCUGAAUGGGAGCCCCGCCUCCACGUGACCAGCGCCCCACUCCUGACACAGCUGAGGUUGUCUGCACUGCUCACCACCACAGACAACGCUGCGAUAAACAGGUCUGUAGGAAAUCAGAUAUAAUGGCUGGAGCUCCAACAACUAUCUAACACUAUGAGGAAAGCCUGAAAAUGGAAGCUUCACUCAGCGGCACAAAAAGCCAGAAUGAGCCGGGGUCCCCACGUUGGCGCGUGCACCAUGCCAGCCCCGACGACUACCGUCACGCUUCUUAAAUGUGAAAGAAAAAGAAAAAACUUCCAUAUUGUUUGCGCCACUGCUGUUGUUAGUUACAGCAGAAUCUUACCCUAACCAGUACCCGAAGGUUUCAAGUCGAAUAUUUGCUCCUCAGUUACAGACUACACACAUAGUUGAGCAUAACCACUAAGCAUUAAGCUAUAAUAAAAU